Molecule: transfer RNA, 69 nt
Filed under: Cynoscion arenarius (sand weakfish)
Lineage: Eukaryota; Metazoa; Chordata; Actinopteri; Sciaenidae
Description: tRNA-His
Rfam family: tRNA
About the family: Transfer RNA (tRNA) molecules are approximately 80 nucleotides in length.
Source: RNAcentral
GUGGACAUAGUUUAACAAAAACAUUAGAUUGUGAUUCUAAAAAUAGGGGUAAAGCCCUCCUGCCACCGA